GGCGCGGCCGGGGGCGGGGCCUCAUAGCGGCUGCGGGGCUGGUGGGUCAGUUUCUGCGUCCCGCCUCCUGUCUCCCGCCUGGCUUUCGGUCGCGUGUCCCGAGAUAUCUGAGCUAAGUUUCAUCAAAGGCAGAUUUUCGUUUACUUUAGAUUUUCAUUUUUAAAAAUUUAACAAUUUUCUUUGCGUUUCUCCGUCCCUAACCAGAUCACAAAGCAGCUAGACAGUAGAAAAUUUGGAAAACGUGGGAGAAUCAAAUGAAAUUGAGAAAUCUCAGAAUGUCACAGCUUCAGGGCACGGUGGACCAGGGUUCGGCGUGGGCUCCCGUCUUGAGUCCCUUUUUUUUCUUAGCCACACAUUUUAUUGCAGAAAUUUUGGAAAAUUCGAAAAAUACAAAGAAGAAAAUAGCAAUAACCUGAUAUUCCACCACACGAGAUCACCAAUACUAACGUGGCAUUUUUCCUCCGUCUUUACAGAAUUACACACAUUUGAAACAAAACUGGGAACGUGCAGUAAAUACUGUUUUGCAACUUUCUCCUCUAACUCACGGCUAAUUAUAAA
Molecule: non-coding RNA, 558 nt
Organism: Sus scrofa (pig)
Lineage: Eukaryota; Metazoa; Chordata; Mammalia; Artiodactyla; Suidae
Source: RefSeq, a predicted model, not a curated record